GCUGCCUUGGAUUUCACCCCACCAGCAGAAAUAAUAUCCACCACACUCCAAGCUGUUUCAGGUUUUAUUUUAGAAUUUAUAAAAUUCCAGUGUCAUCCAUACUCAUGAGCCUUUUUACAUGUUUGCAUAUAGUCUCCAAAUUCCAAAGUUAAGGCCAAGGGAUCAUUGCUAUGGAAACGUACAAUAUGGAAGACGUCAAAGAGAAGAAAUGGACACAUGCCACAGUCUGCUGCGGAAGGAGGGUGCUGGGGGACAGUACUAGGUACAAUCACUUCAUGACCUUCUUCAGAGUGGAAGGUUGGGCUGUGGGGCAUGAGCCCAAGGCAGUGGGUGCCCUGGAUAUAACUCAAGCCUUGCUGUGCAACUGGUGAGGGCACGGGGGCAUAAAGAGGAGGAGGGGGUGAUAGGCUUGGUGAUGCAGGGCAGACCUAAGCUACAGGGUAUUAACCUUUCUGACAGACGCAGAUGGGAAGGUGCCUCCCUAGUUCCCCUUCUCCCGUGCUGGAGGCAAGGCCACCCUGUCCUUCAGGGGCAACCAGGUACCCCACAAGGGGCCACGGUCCAUUUCACUCAGUUCUCAGGCUACAGGAGAGCACUGUGAGGUUUUGGUUUGACAUCUGCAUAGCAGUCUCGGCCAAGAAGAGCUGGCGCAGGAAGGAAAAGCAUCGGCAUGUUUGGCCUGCCCCAAGGAGGGAAAGGCAAGGCAGCUGGGCUCAGCCUGCCACAGUUGUGCUCUGUCAGUAGCACUAGAGAAGACAUGGUUUUCCUUUUACUUGCUGGAGGAGCUCAGACAACACCCUUUGAGCAAGCUGUGGCAGGGCCCAGGUGCAAGAGGCCCCAAGGAGAGAUCAUGGAUUACCCUCUACCACAUGAUGGAGGUCUCAGGAGGGCUCAGCACACACAUCAACCCCCAAUGAUGUUGGAGCAGAAGCCUGGCUCACACCACCUCUGCAGCCCAGGGCUACAGCACAGCUGCACCCAUGGCCCUGGGGCCAAGCCCUGUGCUAGCUCAGCAUGCAGUCCUAUGGAUUCACAGCCUGCCUCAGCACCACCAUGCUCUGCUUCCCUCUGGAGCAGCUCUCACAGCUGUGCGGAGACACAAGGCUCCUCUUGCUUCUCCUCCACGCUUCUGCUAGGGCUGCCCAGGUGA
RNAcentral lists this long non-coding RNA (1150 nucleotides) under Chloebia gouldiae (Gouldian finch). Its description in RNAcentral is "Erythrura gouldiae (Gouldian finch) lncRNA (ENSEGOG00005017044.1)". Lineage: Eukaryota; Metazoa; Chordata; Aves; Passeriformes; Passeridae. The record is from RNAcentral.